This 201-nucleotide ribosomal RNA is filed under the name uncultured bacterium. Its description in RNAcentral is "partial 16S ribosomal RNA". It matches the Rfam family "Bacterial small subunit ribosomal RNA", at positions 328 to 537 of the family's 1533-position model. The record is from RNAcentral.
ACGCUCGACACCUACGGGAGGCAGCAGUUGGGAAUAUUGGACAAUGGAGGGAACUCUGAUCCAGUGACGCCGCGUGAAGGAAGAAGGUCUUCGGAUUGUAAACUUAUUUUAUCAGGGAAGAAAGAAAUGACAGUACCUGAAGAAGAAGGACCGGCUAACUACGUGUCAGCAGCCGCGGUAAUCUGAGCGGGCUGGCAAGGC